This 73-nucleotide transfer RNA is filed under the name Candidatus Woesearchaeota archaeon. RNAcentral describes it as "tRNA-Met". It matches the Rfam family "tRNA". Rfam says of the family: Transfer RNA (tRNA) molecules are approximately 80 nucleotides in length. Their secondary structure includes four short double-helical elements and three loops (D, anti-codon, and T loops). Lineage: Archaea; Nanobdellati; Candidatus Woesearchaeota. The record is from RNAcentral.
GCCUCUGUAGCUUAGUCGGAAAAGCAUCGCUUUCAUGAGGCGAGGAUCGGGGGUUCAAAUCCCCCUGGAGGCA